RNAcentral lists this long non-coding RNA (4759 nucleotides) under Sus scrofa (pig). RNAcentral's name for it is "lncRNA (ENSSSCG00035073691.1)". Lineage: Eukaryota; Metazoa; Chordata; Mammalia; Artiodactyla; Suidae. The record is from RNAcentral.
AUUGCGCGGGGUGCCGAGCGCUGGGCGCCAUUUUGAAAAGGAAGAGGUAAUCCCGCGGCGGCUGCUUGGCUGAGGUGUUCGCGGUGGCGGCGCGGCGGCCGCUUCCUUCUCCCGCCGCCGCCUCGGCGCCCGCCCGCCAUGGCAGAGUAAAAGCCGCCCUCAUUCUCCAGGAGAACGUAAUGCUGACAGCAGCUGCCAGAGUCGCGAGCCAGAGUUUGACAAGAAAUUGAAGAAAAAUGAACCAAAUUAGGUGGUUCCUGCAACAGAAUGCUGCGCAUUUUCUGCUCUCUACAAAUGGUUUUGAGGCGCCAGAAGAGCCCAGCAGUAGGUCCUUCUCCGAGACUCCCUGUCAGUGAAGAUGCGGGACCUCAACGGGGAGAGCCGGCCCGUCCAGACCGCCAGGUGAGGCCACGGUGGGGAUGCUACCCACCGUGCAUGCGACCGUCCCCCGACCUGCCCGUGCCUUCACUAAGGGCCACGCGUGCCUCCGAGGCGAGCCGUGUCCCUGUCCGGGACGACUGCACCCUCGACACGUGUGGGCGCUGCUGGAACGGCUCCGACGGGUGAGGCCCGCCUCGGGUCCCAGAGGCAGCCGGGUGGGGCGCAGGGCCGCCCCUCACCUCGCUUUCGAGUCCAUCCGUGUAUGAACAGUGAGGGUCACGUGUGCUGUUUCCUGCUCAGCGAGCGGGUGACAGCUGUUUGUGUUGUUUCCAAGAUGAGUGGAAGAGCAGGCGGGGAGUUAUCCUGUGGCCUGUGGGACGGCGGCGUGUUCCAGUUUGCGUGUGCCCUGGGGACACGUGGAGCAGCACCUCGGAGGUCUGGGGUGCUCAGACAGGAAGUGGGGGUGGCCGGGCGGCGUCCUGUCCUGUCUGUAACGUUCUAGCAAAGGAGGGGUGUCGCCUGGGCCCGUCGUGGGAGCGAGCAGAGCGGGGACUGCCGCUGGCGGUGAGACCCGGGCCCUUGCCUCAGACACCUAGAGACGGGUGUGGCACCACCAUCUCUUCCGGGGCAGUUGGGCUCACAGACAAAUAAGGCCAGGAGCACAGAGGAGUGGCCUUGGGGCAUCAGCUGGGACCAGGGGCCUGCAGCACAGGAGGGCACAGGGGCCAUGGCCUGGCACCCGCACCAGGUUGGCCCUGGAAGCUGGGACCCACAGGAGGGGAAAAGGCAUCCGUUGACCUUCAGGCGGAGCCUGAGGGCAGUCUGUCUGUCCGAGACCUUGGUGGGGGGGGGUGUCACCGUACCCGCCCUCCCUUCUGCACGGGGCCGGGGGGCCCGUGUUUGUACCACCUGGGAACGUGUUCCACACGCUGCCCACGGGCCACCUCAGUGUCUUCGCUAUGUGGGGGGGCUGCAUCAGGGGCAGCGCAGCGCAAGCCUCACACAGGCCCAGGUGCAGGGUUGGCAUCCUGGCCAGGGCACCGAGCCCGGGGCCGCCGCUUUUCAGAGUGGUAGACAGGCUGCUGGGAGCACAUGCGCUGAGAACACGCACACGUGGGGGCGCCAGUGUGGGCGACGGUGGGCUGUGACCCUGAGAGCUCAGCUCCCGACACAGAGGGAGGGUGUGGGAACGUUCCGGCAGAGGAGGAGCCAGAGCCUGAACACAGAGACGACCCGCCCCCUCGGAGAGGAAUCAAGCGGGACUCGCCGAGCUGAGCAGAGUCGUGGAGGGUCCUGGAACCACAGGCCCGAGCAGCACGAGGAGACCCGGAAUCCGUGAACGGGAGAUGGGAUGCAUUCUGAGAAAAACGUUAGAUCAUUCUAAGAAAAACCAUCAGGAGAAAUCACCCAGCAUGCAGCUCAGGGACCCAGAGAGGAAGUGUGGACGCCGGGUGCAGGGCGACCGCGCAGCUCACCGCCCGCAGGCCCCACCUCUCCCAAGUCCAAGGCGCAGCACAUGCCAGUGUCCCCGCGGGGUUUGGAGAAGCCAGGAGGCUGCGUGUCAUUGUUCUCUCCCACGUUCAUCCUUUCUGCCUGUGGGAGGUGUCCCAUCAGACACUAGGGGACUUGCCCGCGGCCAGGAUCAGCCCUGCGCGUGUGAACCAAGCGGCAGCCUUCUCGUGGUGUCUGGAAGCCCGGCCUGACGCUGCGGUGACGGCCCGGAGCGCGCAGGGCGAGCGGGAGGCCCCUGGUGACACUGCUGUCAUGGCUGCAGGCGCUCGGAAGCCGUGGCUUGGACUCGGCAGCAUCUGCCCUCAGCCCGCCAUCCUCCCUUCUGUAGGAAAAGACCAGAAGCUUCUCCCAGCACGGUAGAAGCGGAUCGCGUGAAGCACGACUCGCUCUGGAGACCCGGACGCUGUCAGAACGCAUCCUGAAGACAUGGGGCCUGGGCCCCGGCGCAGCUCUGGGGUGUGUGUGCUGUGUCGGGAGGUGCUGCCUUCCUCCGGUGACAGGACUCUUCCCGACUGCCCAGAGCCUGUCGAGUCACAAGGAAAAUCUCCUUUAAGUUAAAAUGCGUGUAAAGCCUGUAUGACCAGCCGCGCGUGAAGAUGGUGGCGGCGCAGUGGUGUCUGCGGGGCUCGGGUGGGUGGGGGGCUCGGCUGGGAACCGCGGACGAGUGCAGGAGGGAACAGACGGGUCCAGGCCUGGAAGGGUGAGCCCGUCGGGGUCUGUACCCUGGCCGAAAACGCAGGGCGCAGGGAGAAGCACGUACCCGUUGCUCUUUCCUCUAAUGAACAGACGGUGGUACUUUGUAUCGACAUGAUUAUACGUGUGGCGUUCAGUAGGCAGUUCUCACUGCCUUUCUCCUGACCAUUUCCGGUUUUCAUCUCUUACUCCUAGAAAGGACUGUUGCGUGGCCUUGGGGGUCACGGGCUGUGACCCGCUCCGUCUGACGGUCGGGCCGGGCUGGGCCGGGCGGGAAGGUGGGUUCCCAGUCGCUGAGUCUCCUGCUCUCCUGUUUCGAGCAGCGCGACCACGACCGGAUCCAGCCACAGCUUCUUCAGGAUGUUCGACGGGAACCCGCGGAGGGACGUUAGGCUGGAAGCGUCCAGGGAGAACAGCAGACCUCGUGCCAGCCGGAAGCCCCGCAGAGCAUGCAGGGCGGUCGGAGAAAGACGAGAGGAGCGUGACCAGCCUGGACUUCAUCCGGAGGUUCUCCCUGCCGCCUGGCGCCCAGCUGAGCGCGUCAUGGCUGCGGCCGCCACCAGCAACCUGCGUGACCUCCAGGACAGAAUCACCUGAGAGGCGACGGGCCCGCCCGCGGCUUGCGGCGUCGCGCCCGGUCCUCCUGGCAGAGGAGAGGCCUCCUGCUUCCCCGGGCAGACAGGGAAGCCCGGCGGGUCCCUGCACUUCUGCUUCAGGUGAGCCCCGGGUGCCGCCGCUCAGGCACGAAGCCCGCAGCCCGCUCGACGUGGAGCAGACGGACGGGACUGGGGAAAGGCCGUCCCCCAAAGCGGGCGUGUUUAUGUAGGUCUGAGCCUGUCCUCCAGUGUAUAGGUCAGAAAUUAGCAUCCAAGAGAAGGGGCCUCGGAUCCGGUACCUCCCCCCCGUCCAGUCCUUCCCCCUCCUCUGCUGUCAUAUUCCGCCUCCGGAGCAGCCCGGCUGCUGUCCCUGGCCCUUGGCCUUCUCUGCGCCCAGGGCAGGUGCCAGGUGGGUGCGGAGCUUCGGCCGAGCAGGCUCAGGCAGCUUUAGGCCCACACACCCCUGUGUCUCCUGUGUUUCCUGUGACCAUUUAUUUACUCAAAGCAACACACUCUCCCGAGUGUUUUAAAAGCCAAAAGUAAGAAUCGUCUUUUGGACUUAAUUGCACAUAGUGCAAGUCUGCAGAAUUCACCUUGAGACUCUCUUGUCCUUCGUUGACAGAGCGCUGGAGCGUGUGCAGAGCUUCUGACUCGGAGCGCACCUGUCCCCAGGUGAGGUCUGGGAGGAGCCUUAACUGCAGCCACCCCUGAGCGGGAAAGGGCAGGAGCAGCAGCAGCACAAUCCCUGCUGGGACGUCGCCACCUGCCUGAGCCUCCAGUUCGCCAUGGCCGGCACGGCCACGCUCUGUAAACCUGUGUGAAAAGUACUACGGGGGGACCUGCACGCCGGACUUCGCGCUGCGUCUCAAGCCGUCGGAAUUCAGCCGUUUUAACUGUUGGGUGAUGCCACCUGGACCUUGGUGGUUUAUUUUUAAAGUAGGGUCUUAAAUAACAACGCAGAUUUCCCAAGACCAAAAUCCCAGAGGUGACACACUAAGUGACAGGAACCUCACCCGCAAGCCCAGGUCGCGGUGGUGUCCGGGGGCGGGACAGCGGGCUUCCAGGCUCCCGCGAGGGCAGGGCGCGUUCUGGUUACGGGCGCUGUGGACGGGCAGGAACGAAGCGUCUUGUCGUCCCUGCCUCUGAAUUAACGCGGACGGGGCCUCCUGAGUUCACCUUCAUUUGGGAAUCAAGGGUCACGAGUACAUUUAACUUAAAGCUGGCUCUUGCUGUGCGUUGCCGGAGGCAUAGCUUACAGAUCUGACAUGGGGAACAGAGUUGCUUAAGUACCCGUCAGCCCUGGUCCCUAAGGAGCAGCAGUUCUGGGAGUUCCCGUCGUGGCACAGCAGUAAUGAACCCAACUGGUAUCCAUGAGGACGCGGGUUCGAUCCCUGGCCUCGCUCAGUGGGCUAAGGAGCGUGAGCUGUGGUGUGGAGCGCAGACGUGGCUCAGAUCCCGCCUUGCUGUGGCUGUGGUGGAGGCUGGCAGCUGCAGCCCCAGUUCAGCCCCUAGCCUGGGAAGCUCCACAUGCCACGGGUGUGGCCCUAAGGUCAAAAAAAUAAAGGAAAAAAAACUCU